This 2377-nucleotide long non-coding RNA is filed under the name Pongo abelii (Sumatran orangutan). RNAcentral describes it as "lincRNA". The record is from RNAcentral. Lineage: Eukaryota; Metazoa; Chordata; Mammalia; Primates; Hominidae.
GAGCGCGAGGACCCCCUGUGACCUCUGGAGGGGUAUCCUCCUUUGAUUAGGUGGCUAAUCAGGUGACUUGGAGUUAAUAAAAAAAGGAGACAAUGCCUGGAACCUGCAUCAGGUGAGCCCUGGGCCCUCCCUGAAAGACAUUUGAGAUGUGAGAGGGCUCACAUGAGAGGAAGCAUCCCCAUGUUUGGCUUUUGGGUUUUGAAGAUGAAGGGGCCACCUGGCAGGAAUGCAGGUGACCUCCAGGAGCUGAGGGUCAGCAAGGAAUGAGGGCCUCAUCCCUAUAGCCACAAGGAGCUCCAUCCAGCCAGCAUAUGAAUGGGCUGGGAAAAGUGUUCUUCCCUGGGGCCAUCACAUAGUGGACAAUAAAUCCCUGGGGACCUGAACCACCUAGGGUGGAGGUGGCCAACACCUGCCGUAUGAGGCAUCCCUGGCCCUGCCUGACCGCAGAGAGCCAGCCGAGCUAGGCACUGGCUUUGCAAGACGUCUCCAGAUCAUGCAGGGUCAAACGUUUCUACUUUUUGCAUGCCUAUUAAUUUUUUAUUGUAUGCUGAACAUCAUGAAUGAUACAUUUCAGACCUUUUGAUUCUGUGUCUUCCUGUGAAGAAUGUUGAUUUAAGUAACUUGUGGAUCACCUGACUCCUGCAGAGAUGUGGUUUUAAGCUUUGUCAGGGCAGGUCCAUUUAUAUUCAUGCCUUAGUCCUGGAAUGUAGCCCUUGAUUCUGGGAUGUGGCCCUUGUGGGUUUCUCAUGGAAUUCCAAAAUGCUUAUAAAGAAACAAAGAUAAACUCUGAAAAGCAGAAAAUAAAGAACAACUGAUCAUGUACAGGGAGAAGUGAUUAAUGGCUGACUUCUUAUCAGAAUUAAUGAUGACAAGAAGACAGUAAAAUGCCAUUCAAUGUGCAAAAAAAAAAACCUCAACCAAAAAUUCUAUAGCUAGUAAAUCCUUCAAAAUUGAAUAAGCAAUAAAAACAUUCUCAGUCAAACAAAAAGAAUGAGUUUCUAGAAGCUCUGCUCUAUAAGAAGGAGUAAAGGAAGUGCCUCAGGCUAACAGGAAAUGGAUCUACAGGAAGAAAGGAAGAACACUGGAAAUGGUAAAUAUGUGGAUAAUAUGAAAGACUGAGUACACACAUACACAAACGUAAACACAUGCUUAAUGUUUUUUAAACACCAGCAAGACUGUCUAAGGCAAAAAUUACAACACUGUAUCAUUUGAUUUAUUAAAUACAAUAGGCGGCUUCUACUUCUGGAAGAUGGAGUAGAUACUUUUUCUAUUCAUCCUUGCUAAGUACAGCUAAAUGCUUUGGGUGUUAUAUAUAAAACAAACAUAAGAAAUACAAAAAAGUGAAAAGAAGAAAGAAAGCUGUCUAGGGACCUCAGGAUCUCAAGAACAUCAUGGAAUUGAGUUCCCUGGGUUUUCUUUUUGCCUUAAAUAUCCCAGACUUGGUGCUAAAUAAUCUGGGGACAUGGAAAUGCCAAUGUGUGCAGACCAAAACAGCCCCAACAAAAGCCUGUUCUCUCUUGGUAAAGGAUGAGGAAAUGGGCAAGCUAGUAAUAUAGAAAAUUUUUAGACAAGAACCUCUCCACACCUGCCAAAUACCACACAAAUAGCUGCAGCCCUAACCCCACCCUUGCCCUUUAAAACUGCAGGGGGAGCGUAGCUCUCUACCCUUGUGGGGUUGUAAGAAGGCACAUCAGCCCCUCCACUGGGGUAGUGUCAAAGAAGGCUGAAUGAGGAGUAAGGACUUUCAUCCAUGCCAGGAGGCAGUGGGACACUACACCCCACAGCGUCAGGGGAGACCAUGUGGAGAGCCUGGAUUUCCAUUCUCACUCAUCGCUAAUGAGUGACCCCUCCCCAUCCCUACUGAAGUGGAAUCAAGACAUAAAGGUCAGCAGUCGCAAGGUCAUCCCAAGGUCAAUGGAAGCAAUGUGGGGAUGAGUGAUGAGGCAUCCCUGGGCCUUUCAGCCAAGGUUUAAUCAGUGCAGCCCUAGCAGAGGAUUUUAACUCCUACCUCUGCCCAACAGAAAGGAGGAUUCUCUCCUUUCCUUGGAUCUCAGUGGAGGUUGAGAGGAAACCUUGACUUCCACCUCCGUCUGGCAGCAACAAAACAGUAUUCCUCUUUCUCAGUGGGGCAGUGUCAGUGGAGGCCUGAUGAAAUAGGUUUAAAUAUAUUCUAGGAUCCAAAAAUAUAACACCAAAAAUGUCAGGUUUUCAAUUUAAAAAUUACUAAUUAUACCAAGAAACAAAAAAAUAACAGCUUGAAUGAAGAAAGACAAUCAACAGAUGCUUAAACCAAGGCUCCAUAGAUGUUGAAAUUAUCAGAUGAAGGCUUUAAAACAGCUAUACUAAAAAUGCCUCGAAAAACACGUUCAACCCAAAU